GUCGAUGGCUUUAUUGAGUCUCUUAGAAAGGAUCAGGUCCAAAUUUAGCUUAUUUUUUAUGUAGUUCUCAUUAAACCUAAACAUAAUAUGAGUUCUACAAAAUUUAAAUAAGUAGGACAAAAUAUGUGAUGCCUGGGAAACAGGCUAUGGAAGUAUUAACAUUCUAUGAAAAUUUAAAGAUAGAUAUGGUUCCAACUGUGUGGG
RNAcentral lists this long non-coding RNA (204 nucleotides) under Elaeis guineensis (African oil palm). Its description in RNAcentral is "long non-coding RNA (EGUI_LNC042947)". Lineage: Eukaryota; Viridiplantae; Streptophyta; Magnoliopsida; Arecales; Arecaceae. The record is from RNAcentral.